Molecule: transfer RNA, 93 nt
Filed under: Pilimelia anulata
Lineage: Bacteria; Bacillati; Actinomycetota; Actinomycetes; Micromonosporales; Micromonosporaceae
Description: tRNA-Arg
Source: RNAcentral
CCCGGGCCGCCGGAGCUGCCCGCGGCCGCCGGCCCGGUCGGCGCCAGCCGGGUGGUCCGCCGGCACCGGCUGUUCGACGCCGCCGCCCGGGCC